This is a small nuclear RNA of Otolemur garnettii (small-eared galago), 105 nucleotides long. NCBI's taxonomy places the organism in Eukaryota, Metazoa, Chordata, Mammalia, Primates, Galagidae. The record is from Ensembl.
GUAUUUGCUUCCAGCAUAUAUGCUAAAAUUGGAACAAGACAGGGAAGAUUAGCAUGGCACCUGCACAAGGGUGACACACAAAUUCAUGAAGUGUUCCAUAUUUUA